AACCAGCCAUGCCGCGUGCAGGAAGACGGCCCUAUGGGUUGUAAACUGCUUUUCUGUUAGAAGAACAGUCUUUACGAGUUAGAGGCAUGACAGUAUAACAGGAAUAAGGAUCGGCUAACUCCGUGCCAGCAGCCGCGGUAAUACGGAGGAUCCAAGCGUUAUCCGGAUUCAUUGGGUUUAAAGGGUGCGCAGGCGGGUUUGUAAGUCAGUGGUGAAAUGCUGCCGCUUAACGGUAGAAUUGCCAUUGAUACUGCUAAUCUUGAGUAUGGUUGAGGUAGGCGGAAUGUGUUGUGUAGCGGUGAAAUGCAUAGAUAUGACACAGAACACCUAUUGCGAAGGCAGCUUACUAAGCCAUUACUGACGCUGAGGCACGAAAGCGUGGGGAUCAAACAGGAUUAGAUACCCUGGUAGUCCACGCUGUAAACGAUGUUCACUCGCUGUUUGCGAUACACAGUAAGCGGCUAAGCGAAAGCAUUAAGUGAACCACCUGGGGAGUACGAUCGCAAGGUUGAAACUCAAAGGAAUUGACGGGGGCCCGCACAAGCGGAGGAACAUGUGGUUUAAUUCGAUGAUACGCGAGGAACCUUACCUGGGCUUGAAUGUAGAUUGCAUAGGGUAGAGAUAUCCUUUCCCUUCGGGGCUAUUUACAAGGUGCUGCAUGGUUGUCGUCAGCUCGUGCCGUGAGGUGUCGGGUUAAGUCCCAUAACGAGCGCAACCCUUACCGUUAGUUGCCAUCGGGUCAAGCCGGGAACUCUAGCGGGACUGCCACCGUAAGGUGAGAGGAAGGCGGGGAUGACGUCAAAUCAGCACGGCCCUUAUGUCCAGGGCUACACACGUGUUA
Molecule: ribosomal RNA, 841 nt
Filed under: uncultured Bacteroidales bacterium
Lineage: Bacteria; Pseudomonadati; Bacteroidota; Bacteroidia; Bacteroidales
Description: bacterial SSU rRNA
Rfam family: Bacterial small subunit ribosomal RNA
Source: RNAcentral